Molecule: long non-coding RNA, 11287 nt
Organism: Drosophila simulans
Lineage: Eukaryota; Metazoa; Arthropoda; Insecta; Diptera; Drosophilidae
Exons: 2
Source: RefSeq, a predicted model, not a curated record
CGCUAAAACGCAAACCGAGUAAGAUCCCUCCAAGUCACAGGAUCAUCCUAAUCGCGGAUCCAAGACUCAGCGGGAGUAUAAAAAUCACUAGCUACCUUUUUAUGAAUCAAACAGUCUUAUCGAAGUGCAUAAAAAGUUUGUUAUUGUGACAAUAUCCUGUAUCAUUCGGAAUUUGUUAUAUAUUAAAUCUGAUAAUGCUUUAAUAUCAGUUUUAAGAAUUUAAGCUAUACAAAAAUAAAUUUAGAUAUCCUUGGUAUAAUGUUUAGUUAUUUAACUAUAGAAUGUACUUUAAAUUUGUGUUUGUAUUCCGAAAAUUCAUGAAAGGAACAUUAAACUAUUGUAGUAUACAAAUCGAUGCCAUUACAAUUUGGUUUAUAUCUUUUUUAAUUGUUAAAAAAAUAUUUGCAAAGCACUUUAAUUCCGAGAAUCUAGCGGGAUUUAUUGUAAACAUGUAUUACAGAGACUGCAGGUAUUUAGAACACAUUUACUUUGGGUAAAUGGGAGAGAUUAAAUGAGUAAAUAUGUUAUUUUAAAGUGGUGACUUCAUUUUAAAUCGUGAGGGCCAGGCGUGUUAAAGAUUAGGGUGCCUCUAACCAAGUGAUCACUGUAGUUCAAUCAGUUUUGGGGCAUGGAUCUCUGGGUGUCUGGUUUGUCUCCUCGGCGUCUCCUUUUCGGCAUCUUCUCCAUCGCGGGUUCUGAGUUCAUUCCACCUUACAAACCCAAACGAGAUGUUUGUUAUUUUUAGUUACUUCCUUUUUGUGCGCCUCUUCGCGAGCGCACACCUCUCUCCGUGCUCUCUCCUUUUGUCUUCUUGGCUCCACACUUGACUGCCAGUGCAGCCUUUGUUGUUCCUAUUAUGAAUUCUUUGUUGACUCGGCCAUUCGUAAACCGAAAAGAAGGGAGGCGUGGAUUUGAAGGGACACAGGAGGAGAUGCGAAACCCCAGGGGGGAACCCCCAACACAGAAAGAAACAUUAAUGUGGUGUGGAAUGAUGUGAUAAGAGAUCAUUUUAUUCAUCAUAUGCUAAAAGUUUUAAAAUUUUGGAAUCUCGAAAAUUAUUGGAUCCAUUUAACAACGAUCUGUUUUGCUCUGUGCACUGAAAGUGUAGCAAACUUAUCUGAAAGACGAAAGAUUUACCUCAACUGCCCACGCUUUGCCUCGAAAACCAAAAAAAAAAAAAAAAAAAAAUAAAAAAUAUGAAUAAAUAUACGGCAACGAAGCAAACACUCCGAAAGGCAAACCAACAAAAGUCAACUUUCGGGGCGGGAUAGGGGCGGGGGCGUGGCACUACCUGGUCGCAUCUUGUAUCUUGUAUCUCGCAUAUCGGAGCUCUCGUUCCUGUAUUUGCCCAACAUCUGUUGCCCAUAUGCAGGCCGGCCAAGAGGGUGUGUGUCGCCUCGUAAUGACAAAAUUAUGUUGGACAGAUACACAGAUUCAGAUACUCGUGGUGCGGUAUUUGCGGAUUGCAAGGUACCGCUAGAUGGCCAGGGUACACUUAUUAUGUACAGCGUAUGUUUGGAUUACUUUUAAUAUAUGUUUUUUACCAUAUCGCUUGAUCAAUUUGCUUAUAACUACUACUACAAUUUAAAUAACAUUUAAUUAUUGCAAUUAAUCCGGAAAUGUGAUAGCAAAUGGUCUGUAUAAUAAGAUGCAAGAUCUUGAUUUCUUUCUUCAUUAGGAAAAUAUCCAAGAAGUCGGUGGUCUUAUCCAGACCAAUCAGAUUAUUGAUUACCAGGUACCAGGUAUCGCACAGUCGGAAAACUCGCCCAAAAGCUUAUAUUCUUGUUUUGGUUUCGUCUCGGCAUAGCUGCAAACUAGUUUGCCUGUCUACAAAUUGUAUUUGCUAAAAGCAAAGCGUUGACAAUUUGUAAAACUCGUUCCACCAGACUACAAAAUCCAAAGAGCUGAAAUAGGCAAAACAAAAUACAGAUUUGAAACCCACCUCGUUGGCUUAUCAGCUUAGUGGGAGGGUGUCGGACUGGAUUUUUGGGAUUUGAGAUUUGGGACCUGGGAACCCGAGUGCCGUCCACUAUUUACGAAUACUGACCGUAUUCGACUGCUAACUUGGCCCGACCGCUAACGGCUUUCAACUUUUCAACUUGCUAGAAGUUUUUGUGUUUUUUCUCAUUUUGCAACUUUCUCUUUUCAAUUGCUGUCGUCGCUGGGCUGUGUUUUUGUUUUCGUUAGCUUGACAUGCGGGCCAAAUCCAAACCCCACAUUCACAUGCGGUCUUUGGGGCAACUCAAAAAUUGUUUAUGUUUUACCCUUUUCCCAGAGGGUGCCAAAUUUAUUAUACGAACUCUGCCUCGACUGGAAUUUUAUAUGUCAUUUUGUUGAUUCUUAUAACCUAUUUCCCUUGGCUUUCAUGAGUUUGCUUUUGAUGAAAGCCCGCAAAUUCUAACUUAUUACGAUCUGCUUAAAUCUUUGAUUUUAAUACGUACUUAACUUUAUUUAAUCCACGUGUGGAAUUCCUCAACCGAAAACAUUCGACUAUCAAAUUCCCAUUUUAUUAUAAUUUUACUUUAAUCACUUCGAGAACACACAUACAAUUUGUUGACUUUUGAUGUGUUUGUUGCAAGCUGAAAAAAAUGUUAAGUAGCUUAAAAUAUUUCUGAAAUUUACCUGCAUACACUUUGUGUCUGUCAGAGAUAUUGCGAGAGAUCUAAUUAGGUUCCUGCCUUACCUCAAGCAACACUAACAACAGCAAUAGUCGCUUUUUGAGGUUGCGGUUGCUGUUUUUUUAUUUUUAUAUAUUGUUUUUUUAUUAUUGCGGGUGUGCAGCUAAGUUGGCUUGGGGUUUUGGACGUGGCGUUCUGCUCGCAAUCAUCAGUUGGCUACCUGUUGGGCGUUCGCCCGUUCACUUGAAAUGCACAGGCUGUCUGUGUGGAAAUAUCUGCGUACUUACUGUGCGUUUCACAGCUGUAAGGCACUGCAGUUGGAGCUAAAAUAUUUAAAAACUAAAGUUUUCAUUUUAUAAAUUUAUUAAAUUACCUAAAAGUUCAAAAUAUUUAAAGAUGAGGAUAUACAUCUAAGAACUGGAUUUGCUUCAGUAAUUAUGUUUGGCUGUCGAAAUCGUUUUAAUUAAUUUCUGUCUGCUCUUUGAACUAAAAUCAAUUGAUAUUUCUAAACUGCCGAAACACACUGUACAUUUAUAUAUGUAUUUAAGCAUAGUAUGCCUUCUGUUUAUUUGCCGCCUUUUUUAUCGUCUUCAUUCGUUCAACGCUUUUGGCACUGCUGACAUAAAUUUUUGUUGUUAUUUUGACGAGUGUGUUGUUUGCUUUUUGGAUCUGACUCACGCCCCAAACGAAACAAAAAGAAGAAUAACUUUUGGCCGCCAGCAGAGGCAGUCACUCGCAUUGUAUCUGUUAGAUAUGUAGCUAUAGCUCUAUGACACACGCCGCUGGAGCACGUUUCUUCGCCCGAAUCUGUAUCUGUAUCUCAGCCGUAUCUGUAUCUGCUGCUUUCGGCUCUCCGCUAUUCAUAGUCGUCGCAUUUUGCACAGUUGAAGUGUGCCUAGACUGUGUGAAUAAAAAAAAAACAAAAAAUGACGACAAGACGUCAAGAGGCCCGAGCAAAAGCUCUACGAUCUCGGAUCUCGGAUUACCGGCGACCAAGCAUAACUGCACGUACUAUAUCGCACUCGGAGAUAUCAUUUUUGUCUCGCAGAUAUCACAUCUUCCGCAUGACGUUUGUUUACCUGGGCAGAGGACAGCAAACAGUCAUCUAAAGCCCCUAGAUAUGAUAAAUUUCUAGUUUUUGUUUUCGAAUUCGGUGGGGCCCACACCUGGGCGUUAUAAUUAUAGAAAUUGUGCUCGCUGUUACUGCAGCCCAAGGUGUAUAUCCACAUACAUCUGUCAGAUACGCAUCCAAGUUUGUAUCAUGUGCAGCGAGCAACCUGAGAGAUAAAAGCCAGAAAAGAGCCGACCAAAAUCAAAUUACGUACACCCGCAACGUGAAUGUUUAUAUGGCCGAUCUAUGUAUCUAUAUAUACAUACAUAUAAAAAAAAAAAUAUAUAUAUAUAGGCACAGAAACGUGUAUAUAUAGUUGGCCGAAUGUGUUCCUCGGCAUUUGUCGGAUACAGAAUUUUUUCUCUUUCACUCCGUCCGACAUUUUUCAUGAAAAUUUGAAAUGUGUUUCAUUUCAUCUAAAUUUAGAUUAUUGGAAAAUGGGUUUUCGCCUGCCACCAUAGCUGUUGGAAUUUUGUUUCGUUGGAUUUUCACCGUUUAGGGCGUUGGUUUUCUUCUGACCAAAAAUUUUGAUUUUGAAGGCCUGAACUGCCGCCGAUUGGUAGAGUCAUUAAAAUCGGAAACUGAAGUAUCUUGUUGACAUUAAUGCGGCUGCUGGUCUUCGGAUCCGAGUUGAAUGCAAACACAUUGGAGCUGAAAGGCAAACAAAUGAUUGGAAAUGAUUGGCCCAUCCUCGCUUUAAAAAGAUACAUUUAAGCCGUUCCAUUGAUCAGUCAACGUUGCGAUCGAUUCGUUGGGUUUAUCUUGCAAAGAACCAAUUCGCAUUUAUAAAACCUUAAAUUUAUGAUAGAAUACUUCCUAUAGUUAGAUUUCGAGAUCUAUUAAUAAGACAUGUUUUAUGUUUAUUAUAUUAUAUAUUUCACAAGUUCUAAUGAAAUGAAACGAUAUUUUUCUCGGUGCAUCAGUAAUAGCCACAAGCUGCCCCGAGCAUUUUAAUUUAGUAUUUUCAUAGGCACGGCUUUCGGGUUUUGGGUAUGAGGUUCCCUAACUGACGUGCUCAUAAAUUUGUUGACAAUUGUUAUGCGGAACGCGUAACCCUCCACGUUUUACCCCGCUCCCAUCCUUACCGCCCGCACAAUAGCGAAUCGACCCCAAACGAUUCCGUGCGAUUCCCUACGAUCCAAUCCAAUCCAACCCGAUUCGAUUUGAUUCGAUUCGAGCCCCUGCCCAUACACGUCUCAUUGCGUUUUCAAAUUCAAUUAAAAUCUUUUGUCAUGACCAUCGAUCGCUGGUUGCUUUGUUUUGAUUUGUGAUUGGCUGGCUGUUGGUCGAAAAUGCACCGAUGCGUUUGCACGGAAGUUGACCAUGGCUAAAAAAGAAGCAAAUGAAGCCAUCGACAUCGAGCUAAACAGUUAGUAGAUUGCAUCAAAAGGGCAGUGAUCGUUGGCGAAAGUUUGUGGGGUUGAUGACGAAGUUUUCGAUGCGGCUGAUCGAAUUUAAUAUGGAAAGUGCAUGGGAGUGGAUAGAUUUGGUAAUGGGCUGCAAUCCUAUUAUCUAAUAAUGUAAGUACUAGAAUUUGCUGAUAUUCUAGGCUUGAAAUAUAUGUACAUAUUUAUAUUUAUAUUUUUUAAUGGCGCCAUUUAUUGGCUCUCGCUUGUGGCGGCUUAAAUUGAAAUCGUAUCAAUUUCUAGUCGUAAUACUCAUGGGUUUUCGCCUGGCAGCUGUACAACUUGACACACUCAGCCUUCAAUUAGCGUUUUCCUUAGAAACCCCUUGUUUCAUUGUAUAUACAAUAUGUAUGCAUGUAUAUCUAUUCUUUUAAGCGAGAUCUCGCCCACACACUCAAACCCGGUGAUUACGUCGUGUGCCAAGUUAUUUGAUAGCCAGGCUGCAUCAAAUGUUCGGUGUUGCUAUUGUGGCAAAACGAAUUAUUUUUGACAAAAAUAGCCAACUCAAAAAAAGCUUAAAAAUAUAAUGGAGGAAACAAAGAAGCGCGUAAUUAAAAUAUUUUUCACAUGCUCGGGUUUCUUCCCCACACGCAGCAAAAAAACACAUGGAACUUUCAGCAUGGCGCCCCAUUCCGUAGCCAACCUCCCACUCCCCAUUCGAGACACUGAAAGAAAAACCAAGUAUCCGAUAGAUACAUUUGAAAAUAACUCAAUUGUGGAGUAUUGUGUGUUAAAAAAAGAAUUAAAAUCAUAUUUAAAAUGUAUCCCAUUCAGCUGACUUUACAAUUUGUUUGAAAUAAAUCUAUGAAUUUAUGCUUACCACAUAUUUUCCUCUGUGCACCACCUCUUGCCUCCCUCGCGAUGAGGCACGCGACUACCAGCAGCGGCAGCCAUGUGGCAUUAGACAAUUGCUUUAAUAUGCCACCAGGCAGGCAGCCGACGAGCUGUACAAAUUGAACAAUUUGAUAACAAACGCGCAGGCAGGGAAAAACAAUGGUGGGGGCUCGAAGGGGGAGGGACACUUGAGCCAGAGAUACAAAGAGGCAACAUUGUGGAUGUGAUGCCUUUGAAGUUGCCUUUUUGACUCUCGGUGCCAUAUGGUCGGUCGCCUGUAUCUGGGAUUCUCAACCCGAACUUGCAACUCCUCGACGUAUGAAGAUACUUAUAUGGGCAUCCGAUGGAUGCCACUUGAAGCGGCCGCAAGUGAAUCAUUUUUAUUGUACCGAUGUGCAUUUGCCAUUCGAUUUAUAUCGGUAAUCAAUUUAAUUUUUCAAUUGCUUUCGAAAAUCCCCCAGACAUCAACUCCGUUUGGCGUGUGAAAUGCGGGUAGCGAGCAAUUUUCCACCCUGGAAAUGCAGCAAAAACAUUUUCCGGGAUGCUAGAGGAUCGUAGGGAAAAUACAUUAAACAUCUUUUGAGCUUUGGCUCUGACAUUGAAUAAAAUAACUAACGGUCAGCAAACAUUCCAUUCCCUUUAAUUGCAAAAGUUAUUACUGAUUUCAUAAACGAAAAACAGUUCCACACCCAUGAAGACAGCCACAACGACCUCUCAAUCUUAAUAUAGUGCAAAUAAAACCUCUAAGUGGGGAAUUAAGAUAAUGAGGCAUUCACUUGACAACCAAGCACACGAGAAAAAAUUAAAACAAAAGUCAAAUUGUCAACAGACUGGGCGACCAAACGCCUUUUUCUGACUUUUUGGGUCUUUUUGGGGCGUGUGCUCUGCUAUUCAAAACUAUGACAAAACAUUAAAAAGAAAUCAUACCAGCACACAUUUGAACACGAACAACGACCCAAAAAUGCGUCAUAUGUGGGAAAACAAAACAAACUUUGAGCCAAAAACAGCGACAACGUGUGAGCAUAGACAAAAACACAAAAGCUGCUACGGAUACAGAUUGAGAUGAAGAUACUCUGGCCGUGUAGUUGUAGUUUGUUUCUUAUCUCUCGAUUUAUUCACAGCCAUGAGCAGCAUCAUUGAUUCGAGACAAUUAACAGCAGCGUAAUGCUAAAAAAUAAGAGGGGGAACAUAAAAACAGGGGAAGAGGGAAUUGUAAGCAUUAGAUCAAGAUACGAAUACCGUUGAGAAAUACGCAGAUGUAUUCACCAACUUCUUCACUGCCAUAUAAAAUAAAGUAAUACUGCAAUUAUAAUCAUUGGCUUUCAAAUAAAGAGUAUUUAUCAGUCAAUGCAACCUAUGCCAUUUGGUUUUUCAAACAGUUUUUUGCUGCUAAAAGGUAGCUGUAACACUCGUAGCUCAAGUGUCCUCAAUCUAUGUAUCUUUGUAUCUCAAUUUCGUUACUUUUUCAACGCGCUGAGUGCAAUUGGGAAACGCUAGAAGAAACGCGUGUUUGCUUUUUGCAUCAUGAAUGGAUCUUGUGAGCCAAAGUCUUUUCGACGUUGUCACGUCCUUUGUUGUGUGCUUACCUGUCGGAUGUAUUUGUAUCUGUAGCUGCUUGUAUCUGUAUAUGUGCAGUUGUAUCUGAUGGAAUUUUUAACAGCCGUUUCAGUUUUGCUCCGUUUUUCCGAAUUUCACUAGGCAAAAUCGUUGCAAUUUUGUCCCAUCGAAAAGUUUCGAGUGAAAGGUUUGUGAAUAUAACAACAAUAAAACAUAAAAUGCGCUAAGUAAGUCCCUUUUUCUUGCAAUUGCCAUCAGCUGUGCAAAUCGAAUCAACCUGCGGGGGAGGAAAUGUCGUUGCAUUUGUUUUCAAUUUUUUUUUGGUUUUUAUUUUUCCAUUUCAUUUUUGUCUUUUUGUGACUUUGCGUGUCUUUUCAUUUUUGGCAGUUUCUUUGGCUUUGGUUUUUGAUAUGCCAUAAAUGUUUAAUGUCGUGCUGAGUUAGCCAGCCACGUAUUGUUUGUAUCUGCGUAUUUGGGUUAAAAGCCAUUUUAUAUGGACGCCCAAGCGUUGCUCAUGUCAAUCAUGUGGCUGCUGUAGGCGUAUGAAUUAAUUGCCCAGCUCCUCAAUGAAGUCGCAUUUUUUUUAGUAGUGUUGUUAUUCAAGGAACUCUGUUUCAGCUGCGAUUGAGAAGAAUCGCAGUGGCUGAACUCAAAUUAAUUGUAUGCAAGCGAUUCAAAUUAAAGGGUGUUUUUCUUUUUCAGGCAGUUAUAUAAAUUGACAAGUUUCCUUAUUGGGGCGGAUUUAAAAUGCUUAAAUGCGGGCUCUGAAUUAUAAGUGUUAUUUGUGUAUAAUAAAAUGCGUUUAAUGGUUGAUGACAAUAAUUAAUUAAUCAAAUGUAUGUACACGCUAUAAUUUAUUUAUUAUUUAAUAUCGUUUGAAUCGUACCUUUAAUUGUAAGAAGGUUAUACUUGAAUCUUACUUAAUAUAUAGAGUCUUACCAUUGUGGGCUGAUCAUUAAUUUAUUUACGACACUUUCUAUGAGCACAUGUGGCCCUGAGUUCUCUGCCCAAACUUCACUUUCAUAAACCCAACUGCCCACACUGACAACUUCCACUCAAUCCUCCUCUUUUUUUUCCAACUGGCCAAGGACGACUCAUAGCUUAUCAACGGCUGGAAAACAGCUGAAUGUCAUUGGCAUAUGGAGACCAUGUCUAAAUAUGCUCAUAUAGUCGACUUCGACUUCAGGAGAACGUCGAGUGCACUAGCAUUUUCAUAGCUUUACGUAGGCUUUUCCGGUUUUUCCACGCACAUUUCGAAGCCCACAGAUAAAUAGUUUGUCACACAAAGCGACACUUGAGGCGGAGACAGGCGGUCGAAUGAAAAUAAAUAUAAACCUAAAGAAAAGAAAAGAAAUGAAAAGGGAAGGGAGAGAGGCCAGACUAAAAAUAAACCAUAAACGUGGGCGGAAAAAGCCAGAAAGAACAAGGAAAGGAGACGCAAAGGUGUUAAGAACAAGUUGCACACUCAGCCAAAAUCCGUAUCCAAAGUGGCUAAGAGACUACCCACCUACAUGUGCGUGUGUGUACUUAAAGACAUUUAUUAUUAUAAUAAAUCCCAUUCAAGGCAACACGACGGCGGGCUGGCAAAAAGAAAAGGCGGCAACUUUGGCUUUUGUUUCAAAACGAGUUGUUGCUUGUUGGCCACACUUCAAUGUUGGUCAAGCACAUUACGCUACAUACACACACACAAUUACGUGUUGGUGGCUAUUGAGUACAUAAUAUAUCAUUUCUAUUUCGUUUUCGGGUAGUUAGGUAGGUGGUGAUCAAGUGCUGUUGGCAGAUAGAAAGAGGUUUUCACCUUGAUGCCAGUGUUACACACGGCGUAUGGGCGAUAUAUUGAUUAUGAGACGCGACUUACGCAUCUCUUUCAUUCGAUCUAUUAAAUUUAGGCCGCACCAAAUGGCUUCCAGCUUAUUUUGGAUGAGGGGAAAAUAUUAUAAGCAUGACAUAAGCACCCAUAAGUUGCCAGAUCCAAAUACGGCGCAUAACUGCAACUUUCUCCAACUGCCAUUGGCUACAAAUAAUUUUCCAAUAGCCAAAGUUUAUGGACCAACCGAAAACAUUUCACAGUUUCUAUUCGAAAAAAAUAAUUAUUCUCAAUUUCCGCCAGAACACAAGCUGUGUGUUUUCAAAACAAAAAAAUGGAUAUACAUAUAUUUAUAAAUGUACAUUGCGCUCGCAUAAUUCCAUACAUAUACAAUUUGUAAUAAAAACACGCUAUAAGGGAUAACGAGAAUUUGAUGGAACGCAGCCGUUUUUAUAUUUCCUUGGAGAAAAUCGGUGUGUUUAUACAGGCUUUCGAAACUGACCGUACGAAUUUAUUGUGUAUUUUGUAUAACGAAAAUUAAUCAAGCAAAGUCCCCAAUGCAAUCGCUAAACUCAAACAAGACGAAGGCAAUUUGUUGUAAAUUUAUAAUACAAGAGGGGUCGUGAACUCUGUGGUCGGUCGUGUCGUCUCCGGCCCCCGGAAUCAUCAUCUUGUUUGUGCUCCCCACACGUAGUCCGGAAAAGUCAUUCGGCUACUCCAGAAAUAAACAAGCCAGAAGCGAUGGCAGCUCCCAAAGAAAAGCAGCACUUUCGGAGUGUGGGGCAUCCUAUAAAUAUGCUUAGAAAUAGAAUAAUGGCCACGAAUCAAGGAAAUAACAAAAGUUGAAUCUCUGGACUGCCAGAGUAUUCUCCCGCUGAUUGAGGCGCUCGAGUUUCGGAAUCCAGCAGUUGAAAUGCCUUCAUCUCGCGAUGAAUCCAUAAAAUACUUACCGAUUUUCAAGGUGAGUUUCCUUAUCGCCAAUGUACGGUAGCACCUACCGACAAGAACAAAAUGCCGUCGGCUGUUGGUGAGCGGGUGAAGCCACUAACCUGAUUGGUUGAGUACACAUAUCGCCUAUUAGCUAUACUAGAUAUUGUUAGCUUUUAAUUGGCUUAAGCAGCCAUUGCAAUCGGGCGACGAGCGCAGAGCGCAGAUCAAAGGGUGCCCACAGCCAGCCCAUCAUCAUCAUCAUAUCAUUGUUGGUCGAGCUGAGUUUUUAUGAGCCGCGGGCCAUAAAAUCAGCAACAGUUAAUUGCUUUAUAAAAAUGGGCGCGUGUGUCGUCGACGACUACCGUUUCAUUAGCUCGUUUUUUAUUUUUUUCGUAGGUGACUAACCAAGCAAAUGAGUAAAUUGUCAUUCAUCUCUCGCUGCCCCACCAACUGAGCUAUGAAAUUUAUGCACUAAAGGCUUCAAUUUUAUUCAGCAAUUUGUUCGAUUCGUUUUUUUUGCAUCGUUUUGUGCCUGUCAAUAGAGGUCUGGGUUAUUGAGCACAAUUCAAACCCUAAACCCAUCCGUAGGAAGCCGCUCUUAAUUAAUUAUUUGGGUGUAUUUCUUUGGGAACAGGGUCAGGGUGUGGCUUCCUGCUUUGGUUCAAAUGCUUCGAGCCCACGUCCCUCGUCGUAUGUAUUCAUAAUUUGGUCAGAUUUUGUUUUCACUCAAAAGAGGAAAAAAUUUGUUUGCUGAAGAGGAAAAAUGUGCUUUUAGAAGAGGCGUCCAAAAAUACAAGUUGCAAGCUUAAAAAUAUGUAAUGCAGACAGAGGAGCAAAAAUAACUGGGUUCACAAAAGUUGAAAUCCUGGCUUUUCGUUUGGGGACCUCAUUUCUACUUUUCCUCUGGCAUUUAUUUUGUGGCAAUUUACGCAUUGAUUGCAUAUUUAUUUGGUUCGCUUUUGGGGCCUUUUCACUGGGCCACAACGUCUACGUGGGGGCAUUUUGCUGGAAAUUGUGCUCAUGG